AGCAACAAGCCUCAAGUUCUUGUUUGAGAUGUUUGUGCUGGAAACUUUGUUGUUCACUUUCUUUAAGGUUUUGCCAAAGAAGGCUGUUGGUGGAACUGAAGUUCCAACAACAGAGUUGUUCAAACUCAACUUGUUGACAGCUCCAAUGGUUGAGAUGGAGGUAGCCAUUUGUACUUGACUAACUCUAAAGACUCACAAAAUAACAAAAGUUUAUUUGAAAAUUACUCUGUCUGUAAUUUGUUA
Molecule: unclassified non-coding RNA, 243 nt
Filed under: Hevea brasiliensis (rubber tree)
Lineage: Eukaryota; Viridiplantae; Streptophyta; Magnoliopsida; Malpighiales; Euphorbiaceae
Source: RNAcentral